UACGUAGGCAGCAAGCGUUGUUCGGAAUUACUGGGCGUAAAGAGUGUGUAGGCGGUGCUCUAAGUUCGGUGUGAAAUCUCCCGGCUCAACUGGGAGGGUGCGCCGAAAACUGGAGUGCUGGAGCGCGGGAGAGGAAAGCGGAAUUCCUGGUGUAGCGGUGAAAUGCGUAGAGAUCAGGCGGGAACACCCGUAGCGAAGGCGG
This 202-nucleotide ribosomal RNA is filed under the name uncultured bacterium. Its description in RNAcentral is "partial 16S ribosomal RNA". It matches the Rfam family "Bacterial small subunit ribosomal RNA", at positions 524 to 724 of the family's 1533-position model. The record is from RNAcentral.